This 913-nucleotide ribosomal RNA is filed under the name uncultured bacterium. Its description in RNAcentral is "bacterial SSU rRNA". It matches the Rfam family "Bacterial small subunit ribosomal RNA", at positions 9 to 916 of the family's 1533-position model. The record is from RNAcentral.
GAGUUUGAUCCUGGCUCAGGAUGAACGCUAGCGGCAGGCCUAACACAUGCAAGUCGAGGGGUAUAGUUUGUGCUUGCACGAACUGGAGACCGGCGAACGGGUGCGUAACGCGUAUGUAACUUGCCUUAAACAGGGGGAUAGCCCGGAGAAAUUUGGAUUAAUACCCCAUAGUAUCGUUAAAAGGCAUCUUUUUUCGAUUAAAGAUUUAUUUUGGUUUAAGAUAGACAUGCGUCCUAUUAGCUAGAUGGUGAGGUAAUGGCUCACCAUGGCUACGAUAGGUAGGGGUCCUGAGAGGGAUGUCCCCCACACUGGUACUGAGACACGGACCAGACUCCUACGGGAGGCAGCAGUGAGGAAUAUUGGUCAAUGGAGGCAACUCUGAACCAGCCAUGCCGCGUGCAGGAAGAAUGUCUUAUGGAUUGUAAACUGCUUUUUUAUGGGAAGAAACGGGAUCUUGCGAGAUUCAUACUGACGGUACCAUAAGAAUAAGAAUCGGCUAACUCCGUGCCAGCAGCCGCGGUAAUACGGAGGAUUCGAGCGUUAUCCGGAAUCAUUGGGUUUAAAGGGUCUGUAGGCGGCUUAUUAAGUCAGUGGUGAAAGUUUGCAGCUUAACUGUAAAAUUGCCAUUGAUACUGUUAGGCUUGAGUUAUCGUGAAGUAACUAGAAUGUGUAGUGUAGCGGUGAAAUGCAUAGAUAUUACACAGAAUACCGAUUGCGAAGGCAGGUUGCUAAUGAUACACUGACGCUGAGGGACGAAAGCGUGGGGAGCGAACAGGAUUAGAUACCCUGGUAGUCCACGCCGUAAACGAUGGUCACUAACUGGUAGGCAUUAAUAUUUAUUGGUUGAGCGAAAGCAUUAAGUGACCCACCUGGGGAGUACGUUCGCAAGGAUGAAACUCAAAGGAAUUGACGG